RNAcentral lists this ribosomal RNA (552 nucleotides) under uncultured bacterium. RNAcentral describes it as "bacterial SSU rRNA". It matches the Rfam family "Bacterial small subunit ribosomal RNA", at positions 359 to 917 of the family's 1533-position model. The record is from RNAcentral.
GGANUUGCCANUGGGCGAAAGCCUGAUGCAGCGACGCCGCGUGGGGGAUGAAGCUUCUCGGAGUGUAAACCCCUUUCGACCCGGACGAAUGCCCCGCAAGGGGACUGACGGUACGGGUAUAAGAAGCCCCGGCUAACUACGUGCCAGCAGCCGCGGUAAGACGUAGGGGGCCAGCGUUGCUCGGAAUUACUGGGUGUAAAGGGUUCGUAGGCGGUGUGGCAAGUCGGGAGUGAAAUCUCUGGGCUCAACCCAGAGUCUGCUUCCGAAACUGCUGUGCUUGAGUGUGGGAGAGGCGCGUGGAAUUGCAGGUGUAGCGGUGAAAUGCGUAGAUAUCUGCAGGAACACCCGUGGCGAAAGCGGCGCGCUGGACCACUACUGACGCUGAGGAACGAAAGCUAGGGGAGCAAACAGGAUUAGAUACCCUGGUAGUCCUAGCCCUAAACGAUCAGGACUUGGGGUGCCACCCGUUCGGGUGUCGUCCCGGAGCUAACGCGUUAAGUCCUGCACCUGGGGAGUACGGUCGCAAGACUGAAACUCAAAGGAAUUGACGGA